This 461-nucleotide ribosomal RNA is filed under the name uncultured bacterium. RNAcentral's name for it is "bacterial SSU rRNA". It matches the Rfam family "Bacterial small subunit ribosomal RNA", at positions 339 to 791 of the family's 1533-position model. The record is from RNAcentral.
GUACGGAAGGCGGCAGCUAAGAAUCUUCCGCAAUGGGGGAAACCCUGACGGAGCGACGCCGCGUGGAUGAUGAAGGCCGUAAGGUUGUAAAAUCCUUUUGUCGGUGAAGAAUAAGGGAGGGAGUGGAAAGCCCUCCUGAUGACGUUAGCCGACGAAUAAGCCCCGGCUAAUUACGUGCCAGCAGCCGCGGUAAUACGUAUGGGGCAAGCGUUGUUCGGAUUUAUUGGGCGUAAAGGGCGUGUAGGCGGCUCAUCAAGUCUGGUGUGAAAAUGCAGGGCCUAACUCUGCAAAUGCGCUGGAAACUGGUGGGCUUGAGUUCUUGAGGGGAAGCUGGAAUUCCAGGUGUAGGAGUGAAAUCUGUAGAUAUCUGGAAGAACACCGGUGGCGAAGGCGAGCUUCUAUCAGAGGACUGACGCUGAGGCGCGAAAGCGUGGGGAGCAAACAGGAUUAGAUACCCCGGU